GGGGAAAMCCYNNGAUGCAGCAACGCCGCGUGAGUGAUGAAGGUUUUCGGAUCGUAAAGCUCUGUCUUUGGGGAAGAUAAUGACGGUACCCAAGGAGGAAGCCACGGCUAACUACGUGCCAGCAGCCGCGGUAAUACGUAGGUGGCGAGCGUUAUCCGGAUUUACUGGGCGUAAAGGGAGCGUAGGCGGAUGAUUAAGUGGGAUGUGAAAUACCCGGGCUCAACUUGGGUGCUGCAUUCCAAACUGGUUAUCUAGAGUGCAGGAGAGGAGAGUGGAAUUCCUAGUGUAGCGGUGAAAUGCGUAGAGAUUAGGAAGAACACC
Molecule: ribosomal RNA, 321 nt
Filed under: uncultured bacterium
Lineage: Bacteria
Description: bacterial SSU rRNA
Rfam family: Bacterial small subunit ribosomal RNA
Source: RNAcentral